RNAcentral lists this ribosomal RNA (399 nucleotides) under uncultured bacterium. Its description in RNAcentral is "bacterial SSU rRNA". It matches the Rfam family "Bacterial small subunit ribosomal RNA", at positions 384 to 800 of the family's 1533-position model. The record is from RNAcentral.
UGAUGCAGCACGCCGCGUGAGUGAUGACGGCCUUCGGAGUUGUAAAGCUCUGUCUUCAGGGACGAUAAUGACGGUACCUGAUGAGGAAGCCACGGCUAACUACGUGCCAGCAGCCGCGGUAAUACGUAGGUGGCGAGCGUUGUCCGGAUUUACUGGGCGUAAAGGGAGCGUAGGCGGACUUUUAAGUGAGAUGUGAAAUACCCGGGCUCAACUUGGGUGCUGCAUUUCAAACUGGAAGUCUAGAGUGCAGGAGAGGAGAAUGGAAUUCCUAGUGUAGCGGUGAAAUGCGUAUAGAUUAGGAAGAACACCAUUGGCGAAGGCGAUUCUCUGGACUGUAACUGACGCUGAGGCUCGAAAGCGUGGGGAGCAAACAGGAUUAAAUACCCUGGUAGUCCACGC